Molecule: ribosomal RNA, 206 nt
Filed under: Pedobacter sp.
Lineage: Bacteria; Pseudomonadati; Bacteroidota; Sphingobacteriia; Sphingobacteriales; Sphingobacteriaceae
Description: partial 23S ribosomal RNA
Rfam family: Bacterial large subunit ribosomal RNA
Source: RNAcentral
CCUCUGGUGAAUCUGUUAUGCCGCCAGGUGUACUGCAGAGUAGCUACGUUGGGAAUAGAUAAGCGCUGAAAGCAUCUAAGUGCGAAACUAGCCACGAGAUGAGACUUCCUUAUAGGAUCGUAGCAGACUACUACGUUGAUAGGUUACAGAUAUAAAGGUGGUGACAUCAAAGUCGAGUAAUACUAAUUAUCCGAAGCUUUCUCUAA